This 1372-nucleotide ribosomal RNA is filed under the name uncultured bacterium. Its description in RNAcentral is "bacterial SSU rRNA". It matches the Rfam family "Bacterial small subunit ribosomal RNA", at positions 28 to 1381 of the family's 1533-position model. The record is from RNAcentral.
GAUGAACGCUGGCGGCGUGCCUAAUACAUGCAAGCCGAGCGAACGGACGAGAAGCUUGCUUCUCUGAUGUUAGCGGCGGACGGGUGAGUAACACGUGGAUAACCUACCUAUAAGACUGGGAUAACUUCGGGAAACCGUAGCUAAUACCGGAUAAUAUUUUGAACCGCAUGGUUCAAAAGUGAAAGACGGUCUUGCUGUCACUUAUAGAUGGAUCCGCGCUGCAUUAGCUAGUUGGUAAGGUAACGGCUUACCAAGGCAACGAUGCAUAGCCGACCUGAGAGGGUGAUCGGCCACACCGGAACUGAGACACGGUCCAGACUCCUACGGGAGGCAGCAGUAGGGAAUCUUCCGCAAUGGGCGAAAGCCUGACGGAGCAACGCCGCGUGAGUGAUGAAGGUCUUCGGAUCGUAAAACUCUGUUAUUAGGGAAGAACAUAUGUGUAAGUAACUGUGCACAUCUUGACGGUACCUAAUCAGAAAGCCACGGCUAACUACGUGCCAGCAGCCGCGGUAAUACGUAGGUGGCAAGCGUUAUCCGGAAUUAUUGGGCGUAAAGCGCGCGUAGGCGGUUUUUUAAGUCUGAUGUGAAAGCCCACGGCUCAACCGUGGAGGGUCAUUGGAAACUGGAAAACUUGAGUGCAGAAGAGGAAAGUGGAAUUCCAUGUGUAGCGGUGAAAUGCGCAGAGAUAUGGAGGAACACCAGUGGCGAAGGCGACUUUCUGGUCUGUAACUGACGCUGAUGUGCGAAAGCGUGGGGAUCAAACAGGAUUAGAUACCCUGGUAGUCCACGCCGUAAACGAUGAGUGCUAAGUGUUAGGGGGUUUCCGCCCCUUAGUGCUGCAGCUAACGCAUUAAGCACUCCGCCUGGGGAGUACGACCGCAAGGUUGAAACUCAAAGGAAUUGACGGGGACCCGCACAAGCGGUGGAGCAUGUGGUUUAAUUCGAAGCAACGCGAAGAACCUUACCAAAUCUUGACAUCCUUUGACAACUCUAGAGAUAGAGCCUUCCCCUUCGGGGGACAAAGUGACAGGUGGUGCAUGGUUGUCGUCAGCUCGUGUCGUGAGAUGUUGGGUUAAGUCCCGCAACGAGCGCAACCCUUAAGCUUAGUUGCCAUCAUUAAGUUGGGCACUCUAAGUUGACUGCCGGUGACAAACCGGAGGAAGGUGGGGAUGACGUCAAAUCAUCAUGCCCCUUAUGAUUUGGGCUACACACGUGCUACAAUGGACAAUACAAAGGGCAGCGAAACCGCGAGGUCAAGCAAAUCCCAUAAAGUUGUUCUCAGUUCGGAUUGUAGUCUGCAACUCGACUACAUGAAGCUGGAAUCGCUAGUAAUCGUAGAUCAGCAUGCUACGGUGAAUACGUUCCCGGGUCU